GCGUAAUUGGUUUAGUGGUAAAAUUCUCCGUUGCCAUCAGAGCAACGCUCGGGGAGCCCUGGGUUCGAUUCCCAGAUUACGCA
Fusarium duplospermum is the source of this 83-nucleotide non-coding RNA. The record is from the annotation of a GenBank genome assembly. Lineage: Eukaryota; Fungi; Ascomycota; Sordariomycetes; Hypocreales; Nectriaceae.